Molecule: non-coding RNA, 24 nt
Filed under: Arabidopsis thaliana (thale cress)
Lineage: Eukaryota; Viridiplantae; Streptophyta; Magnoliopsida; Brassicales; Brassicaceae
Source: RNAcentral
AAAUGGGCUUAUGAGAUUGGGCAC